GGCCUCCUGAUGCUUACCACAGGCUGUAUUCUUACACUGUAUAGAAAGAGGAGGCAGAGUAAGCCUACCCCCAUGUACAACUCAGCUGAGGCUCUGUGCCUAGUCUGUAUUAUCAAUGGGGAAACAUGG
Small nucleolar RNA from Sciurus carolinensis (gray squirrel), 129 nucleotides. RefSeq annotates it as small nucleolar RNA SNORA51. The transcript has a single exon. The record is from RefSeq and is a predicted model, not a curated record. Lineage: Eukaryota; Metazoa; Chordata; Mammalia; Rodentia; Sciuridae.